CCUACGGGAGGCAGCAGUGGGGAAUAUUGCACAAUGGGGGAAACCCUGAUGCAGCGACGCCGCGUGAGUGAAGAAGUAAUUCGUUAUGUAAAGCUCUAUCAGCAGGGAAGAAAAUGACGGUACCUGAGUAAGAAGCCCCGGCUAACUACGUGCCAGCAGCCGCGGUAAUACGUAGGGGGAAAGCGUUAUCCGGAUUUACUGGGUGUAACGGGAGCGUAGACGGCAGUGCAAGUCUGGAGUGAAAGGCGGGGGCUCAACCCCCGGACUGCUCUGGAAACUGUACGGCUGGAGUGCAGGAGAGGUAAGUGGAAUUCCUAGUGUAGCGGUGAAAUGCGUAGAUAUUAGGAGGAACACCAGUGGCGAAGGCGGCUUACUGGACUGUAACUGACGUUGAGGCUCGAAAGCGUGGGGAGCAAACAGGAUUAGAUACCCCAGUAGUC
This 440-nucleotide ribosomal RNA is filed under the name uncultured bacterium. RNAcentral describes it as "partial 16S ribosomal RNA". It matches the Rfam family "Bacterial small subunit ribosomal RNA", at positions 338 to 795 of the family's 1533-position model. The record is from RNAcentral.